Molecule: ribosomal RNA, 491 nt
Filed under: uncultured bacterium
Lineage: Bacteria
Description: partial 16S ribosomal RNA
Rfam family: Bacterial small subunit ribosomal RNA
Source: RNAcentral
AGUGAACGCUGGCGGUAGGCCUAACACAUGCAAGUCGAACGGCAGCACAGUAAGAGCUUGCUCUUACGGGUGGCGAGUGGCGGACGGGUGAGGAAUACAUCGGAAUCUACUUUUUCGUGGGGGAUAACGUAGGGAAACUUACGCUAAUACCGCAUACGACCUACGGGUGAAAGCAGGGGAUCUUCGGACCUUGCGCGAUUGAAUGAGCCGAUGUCGGUUUAGCUAGUUGGCGGGGUAAAGGCCCACCAAGGCGACGAUCCGUGGCUGGUCUGAGAGGAUGAUGAGCCAAACUGGAACUGAGACACGGUCAAGACUCCAACGGGAGGCAGCAGUGGGGAAUUUUGGCCAAUGGGCGAAAGCCUGAUCCAGCCAUACCGCGUGGGUGAAGAAGGCCUUCGGGUUGUAAAGCCCUUUUGUUGGGAAAGAAAAGCAGCAGGUUAAUACCCCGCUGUUCUGACGGUACCCAAAGAAUAAGCACCGGCUAACUUCGU